This 253-nucleotide ribosomal RNA is filed under the name uncultured bacterium. Its description in RNAcentral is "partial 16S ribosomal RNA". It matches the Rfam family "Bacterial small subunit ribosomal RNA", at positions 524 to 776 of the family's 1533-position model. The record is from RNAcentral.
UACGAAGGGGGCUAGCGUUGUUCGGAUUUACUGGGCGUAAAGCGCACGUAGGCGGAUCGUUAAGUCGGGGGUGAAAUCCUGGAGCUCAACUCCAGAACUGCCUUCGAUACUGGCGAUCUUGAGUCCGGAAGAGGUGAGUGGAACUCCUAGUGUAGAGGUGGAAUUCGUAGAUAUUCGGAAGAACACCAGUGGCGAAGGCGACUCACUGGCCCGAUACUGACGCUGAGGCGCGAAAGCGUGGGGAGCAAACAGG